RNAcentral lists this ribosomal RNA (188 nucleotides) under uncultured Gammaproteobacteria bacterium. RNAcentral describes it as "partial 16S ribosomal RNA". It matches the Rfam family "Bacterial small subunit ribosomal RNA", at positions 319 to 502 of the family's 1533-position model. Lineage: Bacteria; Pseudomonadati; Pseudomonadota; Gammaproteobacteria. The record is from RNAcentral.
CCGCCGCCCCCGCCCCCCUACGGGAGGCAGCAGUGGGGAAUAUUGGACAAUGGGCGAAAGCCUGAUCCAGCCAUGCCGCGUGUGUGAAGAAGGUCUUCGGAUUGUAAAGCACUUUAAGUUGGGAGGAAGGGCAGUAAGUUAAUACCUUGCUGUUUUGACGUUACCGACAGAAUAAGCUCCGGCUGCUC